GCCUUAUCUUCUCUUUGGGCACGUGCAGUCAUUGUCAAGUAACUGUCACUGCCGCUUUUUAAAAGACCUGAAAUGCAAAUCUCAGUGGAAGGCUCUAGAAAUAUAAGCUGAGUUGAGGCUACGGAAAAAGGCAGUUGGGAGACAAGGCCUCAAAAAUAAUCAUGACUAUCUCCCUGUGAAAACAUGACCCGCUUUAUCUCUUGAACAUUUUCAUGCCUUUUGAGUGAGAUUUUUUUUUUCUGCUCUUCUUGCUUUUUCUGAAACAAAAACCUGCCUCUCGUUUCCUGACCGUCUCCACUUUGCUCUCUUCAAGACUGAGUGACUUUAGGUGUGUCUAAUGCGACUGGAUUUAUUUGAGAAGCUCAAGCACUGAUUUGUUUAUUCCAUUUACUUCGACAGCAUGCCCAUUACCCCGGGAUUCUGAGCACAUAUAAAUGAUCUGCUCGGGGUUGGCAAACAAGAGCUGGUGAUGGAUGGAGAGCGAGCAGACAGUCUAAAAGCAUUCGUCAAAAGGGCUCUUCCGUCCCAGAAAUGCUUGGUUAAGCAGGUUUUCCUUUCAACUUCCUUACUGAUGGUUGUCACUGCGAUCCAUCCUGCCAAGUGGUGUGUUCUCGGCUCCCAACCUUCAGUGUGAAGACGGACGGGACCACCGUCUGCCUCACAGGGGUCGCCUGGGCUCUUUCUCUGCCUCUCGUAGCCCUGGAUCGCUCUGUCGCUGCUUAGUAAAGAGUCAGUGUCUACUGCUGCUGCUGCUAAGUCGCUCCAGUCGUGUCCGACUCUGUGUGACCCCAUAGAUGGCAGCCCACCAGGCUCCUCCGUCCCUGGGAUUCUCCAGGCAAGAACACUGGAGUGGGUUGCCAUUUCCUUCUCCAAUGCAUGAAAGUGAAAAGUGAAAGUGAAGUCGCUCAGUCCUGUCCGACUAACAAGGACUUAUUCAAGGAAAUUAUUUAGAUUAUUUAAAAAUUAUUUGGAAUAUAUAUAUAUAUAUAUAUAUAUAUAUAUAUAUAUAUAUAAAACGUGCAUAGUGUAUAUGACCAGCCCUAGUCAAUUUUCAAGAAAAUGAAGUUACUAAAAGUCUUCAGAACAAAUGGGUGUGCAACGUUCAUGUAUGCUUGUGUAUAACACCGGAUAUUACCACACACACAAAUUAUUACUGUGGUUUUUCAGAUGAGGAUUCUAAAGAAUAGAAAGGUCAGAUAACAUUCCCGGAGCCAUACAAGUAGUUAAUGGUGGUGCGUGCACGCUAAGUUACUUCAGUCAUGUCUGACUCUUGCGACCCUGUGGACUGUAGCCCGCCAGGCCCCUCUGUGCAUGGGAUUCUCCACGUAAGAAUGCUGCAGUGGGUUGCCAUGCCCUCCUCCAGGGGAUCUUCCCG
This 1375-nucleotide long non-coding RNA is filed under the name Bos indicus x Bos taurus (hybrid cattle). Its description in RNAcentral is "lncRNA (ENSBIXG00000010830.1)". Lineage: Eukaryota; Metazoa; Chordata; Mammalia; Artiodactyla; Bovidae. The record is from RNAcentral.